RNAcentral lists this long non-coding RNA (1911 nucleotides) under Cimex lectularius (bed bug). Its description in RNAcentral is "uncharacterized LOC106666871, transcript variant X2". The record is from RNAcentral. Lineage: Eukaryota; Metazoa; Arthropoda; Insecta; Hemiptera; Cimicidae.
UGCAGAUCGUGCUCUUCUGGCAAGAGCCUCUCGGACGACCCCUCCCACUGACGCUGCCAUCUUUUUUUAUCAUGUUUUCACUGCGUGCUUAGCGUCAGAGAGCCUGAUCGCGAUGGGCCGGUAUAGGGGACGACUUUCGCCGCCUUGUCCGCACGUUCGUUACCCUCCAGGCCGUCGUGCCCCGGAAUCCAGACAACAACCACCGUUUUUCAGAGAGGCUCCAGCUCCGCGUAUCUCUUCCAAGAGCAGGACGAGAGGGUCUACAGAGAACCUGUCUCAUAUAGCCCAAACAGUGCUCAGUGAGUCGCGCUCAUCAUCAAUUGGAAGAAAUUGCGAACAUGACAGUUGGUAUUACUUACAAGAGUGAACCCGCCGAUCCACCGCCAACGCGAUGUUGCAAUGAGAAGCUGGUUUUUGGUACCGUCAUAAGCGAGUCAUAACCGUCUUGGCCUUCUUUCAAUUAAUGUUCCUAAGCCGUUGCCGGCUUUUUACAAUUGAUUUCAGGUGGAGGAGGCUUUCCUGAGUGCUUCAAAGUUGGCAGUUGGUGCUUCAAUUUCGUACAGCCAGGUCACUCGCACAUCCUCAUAAAUGCCACAGCCGAAGAAGACGUGUUCAACGUCAAGGCUUUCGGACUCACAAGAGGCGAGUCUUUUUGUCCAAACCCAUGCAAUUUUUCAGCAAAAUCCCCAUGGCCGGUAAGCAGUUGCGACACAAAAUGGUCAACUUCUAAGAAGUCUCACUUAACACGGUCCGCUAACAUGGGGAAAAUGCGGUAUGUGUGUCUCCCUUUACUAGAGAGAUCUCUGUUGCCAUAGUUGGAGUGCCCAUGGGUGACCGAAGUAACUGGCAUUCCGGGUGUUCUGUCAUUUUCUAAGUCCCACUUCGCAAGGAUGUUUAGAGGCAAUUGCCAGCAAUCACAUGCAACGCUUCUGUCGACACGGUUUUAUAUGCCCUCGUGACUGCAAGGAGGGCCACACGCUGCGCCCGUUCUAGUUGUCGCCAGUCCGCCUCUCUCAAACAGCUCACCCAUGUUGGCGCCGCGUAGAGAAGGAUGGACUAGCAUAACGCGGAGUAGUAUAUUUGCCUAUUUUCAUAAGACGCACCUCAGGACGGACCACUACAGAUUUGAAAAGAACAGUACGCUGGAGGACCUUCUGCGAAGCCGCUGUUGCGUUGGGACUGAAUUAAGCUCCUUUCGCCAUCAUGUCACCAAGGUGUGACCUCUGACGGUGCUUUGAUGUUAACACCAUCUAUCUGUAUCACGGGUGGAGACCGCAUGUUAAAUUGACCCUUUAAUAAGAUCGUGUCUGUUUUUUCUGCCGCUAGCUCAAGCUUGACUGACCUGCACCAACUCUGUACACUGACAGCACCAACACCGCUCUAACUCGACGUUCCAGCUCAGCUUUGGUAUUACCGGGUAAGUCAACCAUCAGGUCAUCCACAUAGGCUAUGGCACGGAUGUUUUUGUGAUCCAAGAUCUUCAAGAGGUCAUCGAACAGGACUCCCACUGGAACGGGCCAAGAAUGAUCCCCUGUGGUUCUCCCAUCCGGACCUCCCUGAAGCAGCCCUCACUGUGAUUCUCGAGGAAUCCUUUUGCAUAUCCUUAUUAAUUUGGAAAUAUAAGUACUACAGUGGGCUUUUCUUCACUUCUCGGGCAAUUGUAUCAUAUGAAUAAAAAAUUUUAAAAAAAGCCAUCAGUGCAGUAAAGGUAAAAAAAAAUUAGGACUGACAGUUGUUACUACAGCCCCAAACGUCCUGAAGAGCCAGGACUUUGCCUACAACCUUGGUAUAAUGUAUUAUACCACAAAUACAUUACCAAAUCAGAAAAACAAACCAUAGUGUAAUUGUCAUAUUUGUAUAUAAUUGUGAUUUUAUUGUAAUUCAAUAUAUUAUACAUAUUUUUAUGAAAAU